GAAACUCCUGCGUUGUCCUGCGAGAAAGCUUUCUCUCAUUUGGAGCCCCAUGCCCCUGGAAUGCGGAAGUUCCUGGCCCAGGGACUGAACCUGCACCACAGCAGUAACCCAAGCUGCUGCAGUGACCAUGCCAGAUCCUUAACCUACUGUGCCACAAGAGAAUUUCCAAUUUCUGAAUCAUUCUUGAGGUAGAGGUUUCAUGAGUCAAAUUUUCCACUUAUGGACUAUGAGAUGAUAAUGACGGCUAUGAUAAUAACAACAAAAAAAGGGUGUUAAGGGCUGAGAAAGAUGUGAUUUUUUUUUGUUUUGUUUACUUCCUUUCCUGUUUUAUUUCAUUUUAUUAUAAGCAAUCACAUUAAAUCUUUGUAUAUUUUCUCCCUUUAGUGACAAUAUAUUGUUUUAUCAGUUUUGGGCAUGGUCUACUGACCUUCACCAUGGAAGAGCAUACACGCAUUUCCAUCUGCCACCAUCACCACUUAUGUGCACCCUUUCCAUCCACCUAGUACAGUUAUAAUAGGACUCUGUUUAGAUCACUCUUUGGCUUCCAUUAUUCUAACCAUAUGAAAACCCACAGUUGACCCAGGAUAUCAAUACCAUGCUUUAUCUUUUCUGCUUACCUUUCCAUAUUCAUUCUUCACCCUUUUCCAUUCUGCUGUGUCUUGAGAGGCUGAUCUGCAUGGACUCUAUCAAAUGGCUUCCUUGCCCCAUGGUUCCUCAUUGGGUUUGACCCAUAGAAAGCACUAGCUGGACAGUGGAGGGAGAAACAACGAGGUCAUAGUAUUUGUUUGCUAGCUCCCACCUUACUAGGUUGCCAUGGGUUAACUCUGUUCUACAAAAGGCCUCAGCUCUUGUCUGGCAAUACACGCUAUAUGAGAGUCUCUUUGGAGUCAACCGAUGACAUGUACUUUUUGCUCUUUUUGUCCUGGAGUAGUAACAAUUCUUAACGUUGUUAUUAAUCUUUUCAGUUUUCCUUUUCCUUUUUUUUUUUUUUUGGUCUUUUUGGGGCUGUACCUGCAGCAUAUGGAAGUUCCUGGGCUGGGGUCAAAUCAGAGCUGCAGCUGCCAGCCUAUGCCACAGCCACAGCAAUACCAGAUCCAACCAGAUCUGCAACCGAUGCUGCAGUUUGUGGCAGCGCCCCACUGAGCAAGGUUUCAGGGAUUGAACCCACAUGCUCAUGGAUACUAGUUGAAUUCUUUUUUUUUUUAAUUAUUAUUUUUUCUUUUUAGGGCUGUACCCACAGCAUAUGGAAGUUCCCAGGCUAGGGGUUGAAUUAGAGGUACAGCAGCCAGCCUACACCACAGCCACAGCAACACCAGAUCCGAGCUGCAUCUAUGACCUACACCACAGCUCAUGGCAAUGCCAGAUCUCCGACCCACUGAGCGAGGCCAGAAAUUGAAUUUGCAUCCUCAUGGAUACUAGUUGGAUUCAUUUCCCCUGUGCCACAACAGGAACUCCUCUUUUUUAGUUUUCUUAAGUCUACCUACAUCUUUACAAAUUUUUGUGUCUUUAUUAAGGUCUCUUGAAUUAUGUUAUCUAUAAUAAUUUAUAAACAAAUUUUUGUUAGCUAUGUUAUAUAGAAAAUUAUUAAAAUUUUUUUUUAAACUUUUAAAGUUAAAAUUUUUGGGCCUUGGCAUUAAGUGGCUUGAUGUGGGAAUCUCAGUUCCUCAAUCAGGGAUUGAACCUAGGCCACAGCAGUGAAAAUGCUGUGUCCUAAUCACUAGAUCACCAGGGAACUCUCAGUGUUAUCUAUUUUCUGCUGGGCAUAUAUUUUGAUUAUCUUCCUUUCCUGCAAAACUUUUUUAUUUUCUCUGGAGUUAAUAUUUGAUCUAAUUUUUCUAUUUUCCCAUGAAGUUAUUAUUAAUUCAACUCAAAUACCUUUUAUAAUUUUCUAAAGCUCCCCUUAAGAUGUUCAGAAACAUCAAGAAUUUUCUUUUUCAUUUUCUUAAAGCCAUCUUUUCUGGAGCUCUCUAAAUUUUUUCAGUUUAACCCCUAGACCUGAUGGAUAGCUUUAAAUUGGGAUCUCUCUUUGCUAUCAUUGAGGAAGUUACCUUUUGUGAAUUGGAACUUCUCUUUGCAUUGGAUUUAAAUCUUCAAUCUUACAUUCUCACCUUGUUUGUGCAUAGCCUCUAGUAGUUUCCUGAGAAAGGACACGUAAAAGUUAAAUUAUUUGAGAAUUUUAUGUUAGAAAAUAUAUUUAUUAUAUCCCAACAUCUUAUUGGUACUUUGGCUGGGUAUAGAGUUCUAUGGUAUAAAUUAUUUCCUUUCAGUAUUUUGAAGACAUUGUUCCACUAUUCUCUAGCUUCUGGCAUUGUCUUUGAGAAGUCUGAAGUCAUUAUUAUUCCUAAACCUUUGCAUGUGAAUCUUUUUUUCUUGAAAGCAUUUAAGAGCUUCUGAUCUUCAGUCCUAAAGUACUAUGAUAAUGGACCCUAGAAUAUAUUCAUUCAUUGCUGGGUACUUGAGGGAAAUUUCAAUCUAAGCUGGUUGCCGAGAUUAAAUGGAAGAGAAAUCAGGGAAUUACUAAUUAAUGAGCAUGAAGUUUUAGUUAAGUUUUACAUGAAUUCAGUUAAGAUGAAUAAGUACUAGAGAUGUGCUGUACACUGUUGCAUCUAUAGUCAACAAUAUUGUGUUGUACACUUAAAAUCUUAUGAAGGGGGUAGAUUUCAUGUUGUGUUCUUACCACAAUAAAAGAUUAAAAUGCCUUUUUCACAAUCUUGUGGUGAGAAUUAAAUGCAGAAUGCUAUAAAGCACUUGGUCUGCAAACAGUAUUUACUAUUGUUGUUCUUGUGGACUGGGGUCUGGAAGCAGGAAAAAGAGAGGACCAUGGCAAUAGGUUAAGUUCGAGAAGAAGAAAACCUGCGAAAAGGUAACAACCAUGAGGAUGGAGAGUUGAGAGGGCAGGUAUAGGAGAUGACACUGCACCAUGAGAACUGUGUGUGGGGGCGAAAAAAAGGAGGAAUCAAAGAGGAUUCAUGUGAUUGUGACCUCUAUUAUUUAUUAGUAAUAAGUGUAGAAAUAUCACAUUAUGAUAUUUCAACCCAAAAUGAUGACUUCCUUAGUGGCAUUAAAGAAGUGUCAUUCAGAAGUUAUCAUCUGAUCACUCCAGAGAUACUGGUUAACACUCCACUGGUGUUUGAUUAAGCUAAUGAGGUGGGCGAAGUGGUUUGUGCGUGUUGAAUUCAGGAAGCAUUUAUCUAGAAAUGGUGGACUACAGCCUAAAAAAGAAAAGCGAAGAUCACAAAAGCCGUGUUAAUAAUUUGCCUCAUAGUUUAUGCUGCAAUCUGUGCUGACCCUGGGGUUUUAGUUCCUGGGUUCCUUGCUAUGAACACCUGCAUUUGUGUGAUACUGCUAAUUUGAGCUUUGCAUUGCAUUCUCAAGCCCCCUGACGAGGACUCUUGGACAUCAUUCUGUAAUGGUUGUUUUCCUUCCAAAGGGGAAUGGAUGAAAUCAAUGAACUGAGACUAAUAUCUAUUGUUCUUAAGCAAGCAUCUGUGUGAUCAUUCCCAGGAAGAGAAAAAUAUAUUUUGCAGCAAAGGAAGAGAGCAAAAUUCCCUGUCAAAAGUUCCUCUUUGCUUGGAAAUCACAUCAGCUUACUUUAAAUGUUCUGAGUAAAGAAGAGAAGAAGAAAACUGCCCUUGGGAGACCUGAAUGAGGCAGGAGCUUUGUGUGCUAAAUACGCAGUCACCUCUAUGUGAAGGGAAUAAAGUCUAUAUGCUAGCUG
RNAcentral lists this transfer RNA (3718 nucleotides) under Sus scrofa (pig). Its description in RNAcentral is "lncRNA (ENSSSCG00025066818.1)". Lineage: Eukaryota; Metazoa; Chordata; Mammalia; Artiodactyla; Suidae. The record is from RNAcentral.